Molecule: non-coding RNA, 2356 nt
Organism: Macaca mulatta (Rhesus monkey)
Lineage: Eukaryota; Metazoa; Chordata; Mammalia; Primates; Cercopithecidae
Source: RefSeq, a predicted model, not a curated record
ACAGGAAUUCUGAUGUUAGUCGGCCUCUGGGCUCAAACCUCACCACUUUAAACAAAAACCAGAGGGUUCCGUAUCCCUGAAUCUGGAGCUGAUGACUCAAGAAAUGUCCUUUCUCCUAAGAAAUAAUCCUCCCAUCUGAGAUUAGCAGUAUCUAAUCUGUUUUCUCCACUGCUGACCAGCAUCAGCAACACAGGUAUCUGAACAACAACAACAACAAAAAAACCUUAAGCAAUUUACAGAAACAAGAGGUUCCACAAAAUCAGCAGUUCCCAAAAACAAGAAUGGUGAAAAUUACGCUCAUACAAGAAGGAGUAAUAUUCUUUAUAAUUCUCAUCUAAUUUCUUAAGGUUAUGUUUACUCCUAUUUUUUAAAUGUCAUGGUUCAAAUAAAUACAAAAGUACGAACAGAGAGCUGGACUGGGAAGUGAGACACCUAAACUCCCGUCCCAGAUGGACGACCCUGAACAACUCACGUUUUGUAACCCCUUCCCCGGCUCAGUAUUCCCACCUGCAACCUGAGGACACUCAUUAAAUAAGAUCUGUUUCUAACUCCACACCUUCACGGUGCUAGUCCUGUUUUGGGUAUCAAAUCAAAAUCCUGUAAGCAAAAGGUGAAGGAUUCAGAAGUGAAAGGAAAGAUGGUGGCUCUAACUUUGCCAAAGUAAAAAGUACAGGCCUCUGCCAUCAGUGAAGAAAGAACCUAAAUCUGGUAAGAGUUUCAAACGGGCUCAGCACCUCCUGGCACACAUAGAGCGGCAUCGCGCUGCCCCAAGAAAAUCACAUCUCUACACGUCAGACCCUUUCCAGUCCAUUUUGCCCCAUCCACAAAAUGAAAAUGCCACUUGAUUUACUAAACCUAAAAAUUCUGUUGGGAGGCAAAGGAGAGUUAGAGAAUUUGCAAUGAAUUUAACCUGCCAGGAGAGGGAGUUUAACACCAAGCUUCCAGAAACAGGCUGCGUGGUAGCUACAACGUCCAGAAACCCAGGUUUCAACGCGGCCCGGCUGCACAACCCAAAGGAAAUUCAGCACCAGGCGAGUGAAGUGACUUACCUGUGCACAGCUGCACUCGCAGACUUCGGAGCCCCCACCUAAUUCUAUAACGCUGUAUGUCCAUGAACUUAAUAACAGAAGGUCAGGGGAGAGACGUUCUGAGAGCAAUGAAAGUCUAUCUUAAGAUAAAGAUGUUUCUGAAGCUGAUUUUUCAAGUCAAACUUGAGAGAGAAAUUCAAAGGCUAUGUUCUCAUAUCACAUUCCUGGGUUUGGGAGGUUCAUUCACAGCUUAAUCCUGUCCCCUGAAGUCACGGUUACGUAAGUAUGCUGUGUCACUUGCUGUCCCCACCCCCAACACAGGAGAUGCAAUGUAACCUGAGCUCCCUGGCUUCAGCCACUGAAAACACUUACACAACACUGGGACCAUUCCAAAUUGACUUGUUUCCUCUAAACAAAGGGCAAGCUAUUUGAUUUUCGUCCUACUUCGUUCACAUUUGUAUUUCUGUAUAUACAGAAGACACUGAAAAAGAUAAAUAAGAUUGAAGGGUAUUUGCAAAUUUUCUUCAAUUCUUGAGUAAAACAGGAAAGUCAACUAUUUAACGUCACAGAAGAGUAACCAAAAAAAAAAAUUUAUGGGCCUGCUUAGCCCCAAUUUAAAAACAUCACAUCUCCUGGCUGAAAUGAGCUUAAGGGCUUUGGAUGGGCUUCAUUUCCCACGUAGAGACUGUUUCUAGAGCCAGGCCCCAUACGCUACUGCCACACAGAAGGGCUUUGAGGGCACAUGGGAAACGGCUCUCCAAGAACACAGGAGACACAUCAGCAGUCUCUUCUGACUACUCUUCUUGCCCUCUCUUCCUUCUCUGGACUACUCCAGCUACUGGGCAGGCUUCGAUUACGGAAUGAUGACUCACCCGCAUUCCUGCCUUGUUUGCAUAUCAUGCUAUGACUAAGUCCCAUGAGAUUUGAUUUGUCUUCGCAACCAAAGAACCUAAAAAAGUUUGAUACACAGUAAGAGUUCAAAAAAAUUCUCAACACACCUCAAUUUGGACUCACCACAUUUCAUGUGCUCAAUAUGUGAUUAUGUGGCUCGUGGCUACUACACAGGACAACACUGGGCUAGAAUACAUUCUGAAGGCAGAAUACAAGCAGCUCUCCUCUUGGCGUCGAUAGGAAAACUAACAAACAGAUGAUACCCCAGGCCCCGCUGGGUAUGCAACAUCCAUCUUUUGUGCUUCAUUACAACACGUAUGUGAGGAAAAGGACAGAGAAAUGUAAAACUCCUGAAUCUCGAACUGGGAAUAAUUUAAUUGUUCUUAGCACAGAAGAGGAAAAAAUAGCACUUACAGUAAAAGGAACUUUAAAAUGUC